CUUGUACACACCGCCCGUCACACCAUGGGAGCGGGUUCUGCCAGAAGUAGUUAGCCUAACCGCAAGGAGGGCGAUUACCACGGCAGGGUUCGUGCUGGGGUG
This 102-nucleotide ribosomal RNA is filed under the name uncultured bacterium. RNAcentral's name for it is "partial 16S ribosomal RNA". It matches the Rfam family "Bacterial small subunit ribosomal RNA", at positions 1380 to 1482 of the family's 1533-position model. The record is from RNAcentral.